Molecule: non-coding RNA, 352 nt
Organism: Pelobates cultripes (western spadefoot toad)
Lineage: Eukaryota; Metazoa; Chordata; Amphibia; Anura; Pelobatidae
Source: the annotation of a GenBank genome assembly
CCCAGGCUGACUGACACUCUUUCCCUGUUGCACUACUGUGGCACAAUAAAUAUAAGCAGUGCAAUGAUGAAAGGGCAUUAGUCUGACCCUGACUUCUAAGUUUGCCCAGAACCUAGAGUACCCACCGAAAGGACAACUCCUCCAAGCUGACAACAUACACCAUAUGCUGGCAAAUACUGUUCCACGUCUUCUGAAUACACUUUCUACAAACCAUUUAUAGUGCUGUGAACACCAGCAACCGUUGGUUAAUUCGUGUAUUGGUUGAUUGUAUUAAUGUUAAUUUAUGUAAAACCCAACUGGAUAAGAGGGUUGUAUUGGAAAUAUAAAAUAAAGUGCGAGCUUAAAAUUUCAA